AGCGUAGGCGGAUUCUUAAGUGGGAUGUGAAAUACCCGGGCUUAACCUGGGUGCUGCAUUCCAAACUGGGAAUCUAGAGUGCAGGAAGGGAGAGUGGAAUUCCUAGUGUAGCGGUGAAAUGCGUAGAGAUUAGGAAGAACACCAGUGGCGAAGGCGACUCUCUGGACUGUAACUGACGCUGAGGCUCGAAAGCGUGGGAGCAAACA
RNAcentral lists this ribosomal RNA (206 nucleotides) under uncultured bacterium. RNAcentral's name for it is "partial 16S ribosomal RNA". It matches the Rfam family "Bacterial small subunit ribosomal RNA", at positions 568 to 774 of the family's 1533-position model. The record is from RNAcentral.